UACAGAGGUCCCAAGCGUUGUUCGGAUUCACUGGGCGUAAAGGGUGCGUAGCGGUCGGGUAAGUUCUGAUGUGAAAUCUCACAGCUUAACUGUGAAACUGCAUUGGAUACGUAUUCGGCUAGAGAGUUGGAGGGGGGACUGGAAUUCGUUGGUGUAGCAGUGAAAUGCGUAGAUAUCAAGAGGAACACCAGUGGCGAAGGCGAGUCCCUGGACAACUCUGACGCUGGAGGCACGAAAGCUAGGGGAGCAAACAGG
RNAcentral lists this ribosomal RNA (255 nucleotides) under uncultured bacterium. RNAcentral's name for it is "partial 16S ribosomal RNA". It matches the Rfam family "Bacterial small subunit ribosomal RNA", at positions 524 to 776 of the family's 1533-position model. The record is from RNAcentral.